This 426-nucleotide ribosomal RNA is filed under the name uncultured bacterium. Its description in RNAcentral is "bacterial SSU rRNA". It matches the Rfam family "Bacterial small subunit ribosomal RNA", at positions 354 to 797 of the family's 1533-position model. The record is from RNAcentral.
GUGGGGAAUAUUGGACAAUGGGCGCAAGCCUGAUCCAGCCAUGCCGCGUGAGUGAUGAAGGCCCUAGGGUUGUAAAGCUCUUUCACCGGUGAAGAUAAUGACGGUAACCGGAGAAGAAGCCCCGGCUAACUUCGUGCCAGCAGCCGCGGUAAUACGAAGGGGGCUAGCGUUGUUCGGAUUUACUGGGCGUAAAGCGCACGUAGGCGGACUUUUAAGUCAGGGGUGAAAUCCCGGGGCUCAACCCCGGAACUGCCUUUGAUACUGGAAGUCUUGAGUAUGGUAGAGGUGAGUGGAAUUCCGAGUGUAGAGGUGAAAUUCGUAGAUAUUCGGAGGAACACCAGUGGCGAAGGCGGCUCACUGGACCAUUACUGACGCUGAGGUGCGAAAGCGUGGGGAGCAAACAGGAUUAGAAACCCCUGUAGUCCC